This 507-nucleotide long non-coding RNA is filed under the name Pongo abelii (Sumatran orangutan). Its description in RNAcentral is "lincRNA". Lineage: Eukaryota; Metazoa; Chordata; Mammalia; Primates; Hominidae. The record is from RNAcentral.
CCUAAGUCAGACUUUCUCCAAGAAAAAAAAAAAAAACUCUAAGGAGAACCUAUUUUUCAUUCUUCUAAGUAGUUAAAAUUUGAAAUCACAGCAAGUCAAUAGGAAGCUCUCCUCUGCCAGUCUCCUAAAUCACAAUAUGGCCUUGGAGAUCAAAGUACUCCAAAAAUGCAGCUGCUUCAGUGACAAGAGGGAAUUACCUCCUCCCAAGCCUCAGGAUCCCGGUACCCGAUUUGCCUACCCCAGGCUCACUCCCAUUCACACAGUCCUUCAUGGCAGUGUCCAGCUUCACCAGGUCAAAGCUACCUAGAUGUCCUCAUACAAAUUACAAGCUAUGAUGUCCACCUCAUUCUCUUUCUGGAAGGCUGACCUUAACUGUCCUGCACAUUCCUGACAGAGCAUAUUUGCCCUUUUCCUAUACUAAUAAGCCCUAAAUCUUGUGGGUAACAGCCUGGGGAACUACCUGUCUUGCUACCACUCAAGACCAUGCUUCUGUCCACAAAUUCCCCC